RNAcentral lists this ribosomal RNA (259 nucleotides) under uncultured bacterium. Its description in RNAcentral is "partial 16S ribosomal RNA". It matches the Rfam family "Bacterial small subunit ribosomal RNA", at positions 524 to 782 of the family's 1533-position model. The record is from RNAcentral.
UACGUAGGGGGCAAGCGUUGUCCGGAUUUAUUGGGCGUAAAGAGCGUGUAGGCGGCUAGGUAGGUCCGUUGUGAAAACUCGAGGCUCAACCUCGAGACGUCGGUGGAAACCAUCUAGCUAGAGUCCGGAAGAGGAGAGUGGAAUUCCUGGUGUAGCGGUGAAAUGCGCAGAUAUCGGGAGGAACACCUGUGGCGAAAGCGGCUCACUGGACCACAACUGACGCUGAGGCGCGAAAGCUAGGGGAGCAAACAGGAUAGAA